AUGUGGGAAGAUCUUUGGUAUUCUAGGUUCUGGGCUAAUGAAAGCUUGCUGGACAUAGUCAGGUAUUUCAAGAUGGUGGCCAUUCAGAGGGUCCUUUGGUCCUUACUUGCUGGGGUUUUCUGUUGCCCUGGUGACAUCUCAGUCUUGGCUCUCUCAUUACAUGAUGAAGACAUUGGUGGUGACAAUGGAAAGGAUGAGAAGAUGAAAGAGGUCAUACCAUAUCUGGUUUUGUGCAGCAGAACUGAAGCUCAAGUAUUGAGCGCUGUGAUUUGCCUUUGUGCAGCCCUUUGUGUUGUGAGAUGACCAGAUGACAUAUUCGUAUAUUGAUGAUUUUGAAUGUGUGCAUGGCUGAGAAGAUCAUACCAAUUAAUUUUCAUGCAGAAGUCAAGGUGAGAACUGCUUUGGAUUGUGGCAGUUGAAACUGAAAAACUAGGGGCUGAUUAUGGCUUUUUCUGAAAUCACCAAGAAGCCUCCAAGAAGCAAUAGUUAUAUCUUAUUUCUCAUCUGACUCUUCAAAUGACCCCAUUCACAAAAGGGCUUCUCUACUUAAUCUACCCUAUCUCUCCAAUUGUCUAAAAUCCUACUUCACUUUUUAGCUAGAAUUAUGGGCCACAGGCUCUAAAAGGAAUUUUAUAGAUCAUUUGGUCCAUCUUAUUUUACUGAUGAGGAAAAACCAAGAUUCUAGGACAAAGACUAGCAUCCAUGUAUUCCAAGUCUGCCUUCCAUACCCUGUUUCAGAAUCAUGUGAUGUUUGAUGUUGCUAAAUGGAAUGCUUUUUACCUUGGGCUUUUCUAUAUCCCCCAGCAUGCCUUGCAGAGGGCUCAUCCAUAGCCAAUCAGCCGUUGACUGUUAAUGGCCACCUGGAGUGCUGUGCUGAGGAUCGGAUCUUCUCAUGGCUGGCCCUGUCUCAUUGGUCAAGUUUCUCCCAAAUGGUGACUGCUACAGAGAGGACAUUAACCACCCUAGCUAAAGUGACAUCCCUCCCCCACACUCUAGGCCAUACUCUAGCUCCUUUCCUUGCUUGACUUUCUAGCACCUCUCAUUAUCUGAAAUGAUCUUUCUUUCCUGUGUGUUGUCUCUUCUUCUAGAGUGAGCUCCAAGAGGACAAGGACUUUGUCUCUCUUAUCCACUACGAUGUCUCUGUGCUUAUUAGAGAGCUGACAUGUAGGAAAAAACUCAAUAAAUAAAUAAAAAAAAAAUGUGGAAUUGAUGGC
Molecule: long non-coding RNA, 1214 nt
Filed under: Felis catus (domestic cat)
Lineage: Eukaryota; Metazoa; Chordata; Mammalia; Carnivora; Felidae
Description: lncRNA (ENSFCAG00000048000.1)
Source: RNAcentral